RNAcentral lists this long non-coding RNA (1752 nucleotides) under Macaca fascicularis (crab-eating macaque). Its description in RNAcentral is "lncRNA (ENSMFAG00000056533.1)". The record is from RNAcentral. Lineage: Eukaryota; Metazoa; Chordata; Mammalia; Primates; Cercopithecidae.
GCCAGAGAGAGAAGAGGUGUCAGCAAUUCAAGACUGUGUUUCCUUACUCUCUUCAGUGCCUCCUUCCUUGAUAUGAUGUUAAAACCAGGUUCCAUUAAGUCGUUUGAUAACUGCAGUAUUCAAUACUUCCUUGUCUUUGGUAUGUUUUCAUCAGAGAGAGGAAUGGAGUCUUGCCAUGGUGCCCCAGCUGGCUUUGAACUUCUGGGCUCAAACAAUCCUCCUGCCUCAGCCUCCCAGAAUUAUCAAUAUUGAAAGCCAGUUACUGAUGAUAACAUAGAGGGUUGUGUGGAACUGUUCUAGAACUCUGACUGGACUGAGGCAAAAUCUUUAAGCAAAAUUAUUUUAGCACUGUGCUUGGUGCUUUUCCUUAAUAUUUCACAUCGUCUGAAAACAGAAGAUCAAAGUGAAAAUCAGUGAAGCUCACCCAAAUGUCAGAAUUGGUUGUACUUGUAGUUUACAAGAUAAAAUGAACAGACUUGCAUGAUGUUAUCACCAGGACAGUAAUUUAAAUGCUGAUUAUGACUGCAUACACAGUCAAAAGAAAAUGAAUGAUAUUAAAAAUCAUAUAUAAAUGGAACACCUCUCAUACUUUAAGUCCACACGAAGACAUCAUAUAUUUACUAUGUUUCAGAAAUAUCAACAUCUUUGUUUACACGUAAAUUAAAUGUUCAUUUUAUGGCAUAUAAGAUAGCAAUUAACUGACAUCCUACUCAAAUUGAAAUUUAAAACAUGUUAAAUUUAUAUUGAAUAGUAGCCUCUGCAGGGAUAAGAGAGAAGCAGGACUGAUUUUUACUGUGGUGUAAGAAAAUCUAAAUUGUAUGUUUAACUUUUUGUAUGUCAACUAAAUCACAUAGUCCAUUAUGAAGGGAAUAAAAUACACAACAUUAGUUUCAGAAAGUACUCUUUUGAUCAUUUAUUAACAAAAAUAAAACAACAAACAGUUUUUUCCUCCAAAUGAGGCGAUUGCAGGCCUAUUUACUUUGCUUACCAAGUACUCUCUUAAUUUUAGAUUAUUAUAGUUUGUCCUAAUCCAGAAUUUGGAUGAGAUUUGAAGAACAAUACAAUUAAAAUGAGAAUCAAAGUGGUAUCCAGGUUAUUUUUAAACAAACAACUUCUACUAAAGCAAAUAAAUACAUAAUACUUAGUCAAUGUGUUCCAACCAGGAUACUAGAAUGUAUUUAAGACAAAUGAACAAGAAAGUAUCUUUUUGAGUCUUAUUCUCAAAAAAAGAGUAAUCUUAUGAUCUUCUAUAGCUAUAUAAAUAAUUUCUUCAUUAGUGUGUCUAUGUAUAUAAUGUAUAUGUGUGUCUGUAUGUGUAUACAUACAAAUAUAUACACACACACGCAAAUAGAUUUAAAUAAGAAAAUGAACAUGAAACAUUUUAUGCUUAAAUAAAAAAAUGAACUCGGCAGUCAGAGGUGAAAAAUAAUGUGAUUGAACUUUUAAAAGCCUUGGAUAUUUUAGAAGAGAGAUCUUAAAGAUAGAGAAAUGUAUAUUAAAACUACAACCGAUAAUACCAAUAAUUCAUCAUUGCUUCAGGAAAAAUAAAAGUGCUGCCAAAUGGAGGGAAUUUAGAAAUUCCUGAGCGAAGUGCUUGUUGAGAUAAAUUCCUGAAAGGAAAAUUAAACAAACAUGCCAUUAAAACAGGAAGCUUUUUUCUACAAGCAUUACACUUAUAGCAGUAAAACAUAGCAUGAGAUUCGAAGUCUUAUUUUUUAAAAAAGAGAGUUUCAAAUAAAAGUUGACGAUGGA